UUUUAACAGUUUUUAUUCCUCUCAAAUAAUGUCGUUUUUUAUAUUUUAACAAACUUAGGUAUACACAGCAUUAAUGUGCUGCUACCCUCUUCUCUAUGAAAGAUUACACGGUGUAGAUCUUAGGUAUACACAGCAUUAAUGUGCUGCUGCCCUCUUCUCUAUGGAAGAUUACACGGUGUAGAUC
Procambarus clarkii (red swamp crayfish) is the source of this 184-nucleotide non-coding RNA. Lineage: Eukaryota; Metazoa; Arthropoda; Malacostraca; Decapoda; Cambaridae. The record is from RefSeq and is a predicted model, not a curated record.